AUGGACAGAAGGCCUGGUUCUCAUUGGUUCAGAUUGGAGGGCUCAAUUUGCCGAUCAAAUGUCUUUAGCCCUUCCUGCUGGAUGGAGCACAGUGGGCAGCAAACAGGAGACACGGUUCUUUUGGUGCUCGAGCCCAUGGCUCAACAUGCAAGCACUUUACCUGAGAUGUUUUCCUCAGUGACAGCCCCUGCUCUCCAAGAGCAAGAGCCUGUGAGCAAAGGACCUAAUACUCAUCAAAGAAUGGAGAGACCCCAAUCUCUAAGGCUGACCUUUCAGCUUCUCUGCUUCCAGCUUGCUCUGCUGCUCCACCCUCUGUUCUUCUGGGAUCUCUUCAACAGACACCUGCUGCCGGGGUGUGUCUCUCUCCUUUUCCAAGUUCAUUUCUCCUAG
Molecule: long non-coding RNA, 390 nt
Filed under: Castor canadensis (American beaver)
Lineage: Eukaryota; Metazoa; Chordata; Mammalia; Rodentia; Castoridae
Description: lncRNA (ENSCCNG00000023288.1)
Source: RNAcentral